Molecule: long non-coding RNA, 2280 nt
Organism: Frieseomelitta varia
Lineage: Eukaryota; Metazoa; Arthropoda; Insecta; Hymenoptera; Apidae
Exons: 3
Source: RefSeq, a predicted model, not a curated record
UUGGUCGAAGAGAAGUCGAGAGUUCCUAAAGACAGAGAGAGAGAGAGAGAGAGAAAGAGCGAGCAGCAGCAACGCUGAAAUCGUUCGUGAAUCGUAGACGGUGGUUCGCGGAGAACGUCGUGUUUAUUGAUCCCUUGCGGGGCUUGACCAACGGUCAAUGAGAUACGGUCUUUCCCUUGCCCUACGACUCGAGAGCCCUGCAUCGGUUCUCCUUAACGGAAAUAACGAACCUAACCUCUCGCCUCACGCUGCGGCGUGAUUCAUGCGUUCCCGAGGCGAAGCUCGACUCGAGUGUGUGCACGGAUUCAUAGGUGAAAAACCGUGCACGCGGGAGGAAGAAUGGGAAGAAAGUGAGGUGAACCCGAAGACUGCAUGCAAAACUAACGUAUGGGUUAAAUUUUGCGUUUACGGAAUAAUCGAACGAUCGUUUGAAGCGAAAAGAGAACGCGAGGUAAGGUGAAUGAACAAUUUGGCAAAUGAUCGAGCAUCCGACCUACAUUUUUAGUUCGAAAGCGAAGAUCAACGGAGGAUAAGAUUUUUUUUCCCCGGAGCGGUGUGACGCCGUGUGGAAAGAAAUUCAGGUCAGGCCUGGUGUGGCGAGGUGAAGAAACCUCGCAAUCGUUCAAACGCGCAAUCCGUUCUAUCCGCAACGACGAGUGAGGAAGAGAGACGGAUUAAUGGCUCGGUGGGGGAUGAAGGUACGAGGGCGGACGAGCGGAACGCACAUGGAGGCACGAUAAUGAGGCAUUAAGAGAAAUAGGAUGGCGUACCAUUUGAGCGCGGGAGACCGAGGCGAGACGAGAGGGUAGUGGAAUUGUGUGUGCGCGCAACCGCAGACCCAAUUGGCCAGCCCUUUUCACCCCCUGCUUUCCAACCAACCCUGUGGUAACACUCUCCCUCCCCCGUUUCGCCAACACGCUCUCAUCCCUACCACGAAAGCUCAGAUUCACUUACGCGAGACGUCCAUCUCCCAUGCCACGUGGCUUUGGUAAACAAUGGACGAAUUACCCAAUACAAUUUUCGCUUUGGUAUGUUACCCGGAAGUUCAAAAAAUUCAUCCUCAAAGAGGUGGUAAACAAAUCGUUAAAAAUCAUUAAUCGUCAAGUAUCGAUUUUGACUUGGUAUAAUAUGGGUCAAGGGUGAAUGGCUGAAUAGAGAAAUCUAUGGAUAUGGGUCACGGGUGUGUGUAUGAACACACCGAUUCUGAACUUCAAUCGGCAUGCAAAAGCGGUGGUAAGAACGAUAGGAUCGGUACAACAUAAGCUUCGGCCACUUUGCCGGAUUAAGAGUUGACCCGGCACGAGAGACUCUAUCGUCGAUCGAAAUAAAACGGAUCGUACACACGAGCUAAGAGGAGGUGACCCGUCCCUCAACUUUCGAGUCCCUACGAACAUAGGCGUUUUAGAAUCGACUCGAGGGAAACACACCCUUCCAGAAUUGGACAUUUGUCGAUGAAGAGGAUCCUUUCGAGCCUCAUGAUCCUUGUUUGACUCCACGAUCGACUCGAGCGAAACUAAUCCUUCAGAAUUGAACGUUCGUCGAAGAAGAUUGAUAGAAAGCAAUGAUUCGACAAACCAGGCAAAUUGGUAUUGCGUGUGGCCUGCUUAGAGAUUGAUCUGGGCCAGAUACACACAAAUAUCGCCGCCCAACAAUGUACAUACGCAGUUUUCUUCUAAAUUACCACCCAGUCGUGACCUGACUGGGGCUCUUGUACUUUCUAUUGAUGUCGUGUCUGUAUGCACACGCGUCGUCCGACGACGACGUUCAAAGUAUUUGAACGCAUUUGUGGAAGUCGUUGGCGUUUCAACGUCCCGUUCCACCACCUCUUUGGCACACGAGCCUUGGCUCAUGAAUAUUAAGCGCGUGUUGUGUGUAGGUUACACACCGGCCCUAGAGGCUCGCUUUAAUUACACGACAACGACACACCGCCCCAGGUGACGACCACCCCAGCGCAGAGAAGGAUAUUUACUUUUCUCCUCCGUGCACAAGUCCUUGCACGCUGGCUGAAUUAUCGCUGUCGUAAUGAGAUUGGUUCUCUCUCGUCGUUCGAGGGAGUGGGGCUGGUGGCGUUGUUACCUGACCAGAGAUUUGAUCUACACAUACACGCGAUCCUGUGUCUUAAGGACCUUAUUUCUUCUUCGUGCAAUGUAUCAGAUCGAACGACCCACUUUUCCGCCAGUGGCCGAUUAAGGCCUUUUCUUUUCUUUUCUUUUCUUUCCUUUUCGAGUAAUCUCGAAACAUCCGUAACAAACACGCGUAAUAAACCUGAUUGGAAAGUAA